This 263-nucleotide unclassified non-coding RNA is filed under the name plant metagenome. RNAcentral describes it as "partial contains small subunit ribosomal RNA, internal transcribed spacer 1, and 5.8S ribosomal RNA". The record is from RNAcentral.
GUUCCGUAGGUGAACCUGCGGAAGGAUCAUUAUUGUAUAACCGAGGUGCGAGGGCUGUCCCUGACACGACAGGUCGUGCACGCCCGAGUGCCCUCACACACAUCCAUCUCACCCCUAUGUGCACCACCGCGUGGGUCCCCCUUUGGCUUGUUCGGAGGGGGGCUUACGUUUUCACACAAACUUUGUAUGAAGUGUAGAAUGUAUUUUUUGUUUUUGCGAUCACGCAAUCAAUACAACUUUCAACAACGGAUCUCUUGGCUCUC